Molecule: long non-coding RNA, 902 nt
Organism: Calidris pugnax (ruff)
Lineage: Eukaryota; Metazoa; Chordata; Aves; Charadriiformes; Scolopacidae
Exons: 3
Source: RefSeq, a predicted model, not a curated record
UUCAUCCAUCCCAGGGAAAAUGCCCUCCACCUGUGUCAAGGGGAGGUUUGGCCACCAGCUCCAGCACCUCCAAGCCACCCCAGAGCUCCUCUCCCUUCACCUGAGAGCGCUGGGCAGAGCAGCUCUUGCCCGUCUCUUUCUUGGGAUGGUUUUUAACUCCUGUGUUUUGUUUUUUUUUUUUUAACAGGGGGCUGUCUUGGAAAUUUCUGCAGUAGCACUGGGUAGGAGGGACAAGUUGGAUCCCUUGGACCCCGGCAGGGGAGAAGAGUAUUACUAUGUCCAGGAGAGCAACUUCUACUGCAAGAAGUGCCCUCCAGGCAAGUACGUUGCUGCUCACUGCAAGGAGCCCAAUGGCUCCAGCCUGUGUUUGCCCUGUAAAGAGGACGAAUCCAUCGGGUACCCAAACGAAUACACCGAAUAUCCAAACGACUUUUUGAAGUGUCUCCCCUGCCGGACGUGUAGGGAAGGUAGGAGCUGGUGGUGGAAGAGGGUGACGCUGGCUGGUAGCACAGGUUGGGUGGGAUCAGCUGACUGGAGACCUCUCUAAUAUUUCAAGAGCACAGUCACCUCCAGCGUCCCCCAAAGAGUGGCUCUGGGUCUGGAAUGGGUGUCAUGGCUUGUGCCAGACCUACAUCUCCGUUUGCUGCAGCAUCCCCUCCUACAAAGCUUGGACACGAGACCUCCAUCCAGCCUGGACCAGGGUUCACGGCAGCGUCGUAGGCUGCUGCUGGUGGAGCUUUGAUGCGAGCCUUGCUUUUCUCUUGGAUGAGGUGGAGACAAGUCCCUGCAGACCCACCAGCAACACCCAGUGUGCCUGCAAGAGUGGUACCUUCUGCUCCCCGGACCACCCCUGUGAGAUGUGCCAGAAGUGCCGGCCCCGGUGAGUUGGGUGCUGUGGCUGG